AGACAUUAAUCUUAAGUAUCCAGGGAGCCCUAAAACAUUGUAUCCCACUAGCAAGGACCAUGGUAAUUGCCACGUAAAUCCCCUCCAUUAUGUGGCCCUUAUUAUGACCAGCCAGCCAAGGCUUGCCUUUAAAUCAUACCAAUUGAACCGAGCCUUGUAGAAACACUAUCACCUACGCAUACCUCUGCUUCUUUUCAUUAACCUGCUAUCCUCUUUACAAAUGGGAUUCUUCACCCACUCCCUUCUUCUAGAUUAGCAAUGCCCUGUUAAGUAAACGAACACGAAAUUCAAAGGGAAACAGGAGCAAUCAUCAUUACCAGCUGCCGUGUUAAGCAUUGCGAAAACGCUCACGAUUCACAGAAAAAUCCAUGCUGUUCUUUGAAGGCAUUCAAGCCUUAAUAGCUAGCUGGAUGAAUGUUUAACUUCUAGGCCAGGCACUACUCUGUCCCAACAAUAAGCCCUGUACAUUGGGAAAGGUGCCGAGACAUGAACUUUGGUCUUCUCUGCAAUCCAUCUGGAGCAUUCACUGACAACAUCGACUUUGAAGUUGCACUGACCUGGCCAGCCCUGCCACUUACCAGGUUGGCUCUGUAUGGCUAAGCGUUUUCUCCUAAAAUCCCUUGAAAACUGUGAGAAGACCAUAAGAAGAUCAUAUCUUUAAUUCUAUUUCACAAGUCACACAAUAUUCCAAUCAAAUACAGAUGGUUGAGAAAAGUCAUCCAUCUUCCCUCCCCACCCUCCCACAGCCCCUCAACCACUGCCCUGAAACUUAUAUGCUGUUAUCCGCAGCUCCAUCUGGAGCAUCACAGCUACUGUCAACCCUGACGCUCUUUCUGAAAAAACACCGGAUGGACAUCAGAACUAUUUCUUUAAGGAUGUUACUGAGCCACACAGGAAAACUUGCCUUAUGAUUUUGAAUGCACGGAUCUGAUUUGACUAAACAUGAUAACUAGAGAAUCACCCAAUCUACUCCCAUUUUCAACUCUAAAUCAUCAGAGUGUCUCAAAUCCAAAGCACACACAGACCAGCCUGGCCAACACGGUGAAACUCCACCCCUACUAAAAGUAUAAAAAUUAUCCAGGUGUGGUGGCGGGCGCCUGUAAUCCAAGCUACUUGGGAGUCUGGAGGCAGGAGAAUCCCUUGAACCUGGGAGAUGGAGGUUGCAGUGAGCAGAGAUCACACCACCGCACUCUAGCCUGGGCCACAAAUCAACAACAACAACAACAACAAAAAACAAAGCGCACACAGAGACUGAGGUCCUCUUUGGCAUUGAGAAGAUGGCUAUGCAAGUCCCAACUAGCAAGUGCAAACUUCCCAGCUUCACUUCUGCCAGUGUCCCUUCACCCCUUCUCAACCCCACUGGGAGGCAGGAGGGUGCUUGACAAUAACAGCCUUGGCAUCACUCUGCCAGGGUGUAAUAGGAACUGUUACAAUUCUGAGAUUCUGUAAGUGCUUUGAGAUUUUGGAGUCAGACUGCUUGAACUUGAAUCCUGGCCCUCUCAUCAGAGACUUGACUUAUUUUAGGCUGUGGCUUGCCUUUUCACUUCUUGUGUCCUGUUUAAGAAAUAUCUGCUAUCCCAAGCAUCUGGCAUCUUUCUUGACAUAUGUAGCAGUUGCUUUUUGACAGCUUGCUUCUUCAGUGAAUGAAUAAAUUAAUAAAGAGAAAUGUGAUGUUCAGUGAUCCAUUUUGCAGAUUGCAAACUCCUAGAGAAGGGCUCAACAGUGAGUGCUGAGGCUGCACAGAGGAGGAAGGCAGCACAAUGAUGGAAGGCUUCCUAAAGAGGUCAUCUCCUGAAUCAAUUAAAAAAAAAACCAACAGUGACAACAAAACUAAAAAAUAUGAAGAAGCUGAAACAUGAAAGCUCUGCCAACUGCAAUAUGUAGCUGCUAAGGUUGCUGUAUUUAUUGGAAUCAAGCAAGUGUUCCAGUAAAGAGCACAGAAGAUGUGUCUGGGAGCCUUUAUGUGUAGAUAACACUAACAAAGUUGACCUUAGAAUUGGAGUGCCUGGGUUAGAACCCUGCUGGUACCACCUGCUUACUGCAUGCUUCUGAUGUGAGUUCAGGAGAAGACACUGGCAAGGACAGCAAAGAACAGGAGAACACUCUAGCUUCCCUGAUAGCAUUCAAGGUGCUGUCCAAAGCUCUUGAGUUUCUGCUUUCAAGUGACCCUCAGAAAUUCCUCCAUUCACUGCAGAGGUUCUGUUUCUCCUUGCUUUGUUCUGACUUUACGGCAGAACUAAGCUAAUGAGUUAGUUACUAUGGGUUAUCACUUGGAUUUGAAGAACCAUCAUUUCUAGGCAUUGCUGCUCAGAGUGGGUCUGCCCUCAGGGGAAGCUGUCUAACCAGAGCCUAACCCACUAGGGUUUUAUCAGAACCUAACUGACCUGAGGAAAAGAAAUACUCAACUCCAGCAAGCUCCAGCCUUCCAAAUGGAGGAGGAGAAAACCCAACUCCAGCCCACUUCAGCUAUCUUGUCCCACAUAAAGGGGAAGUGGAAGAAACCUGAGAAGCAGGCAUGAAGUUCACAGUCCAGAGUGUAUUCCACACCAUUUCAUAUUCCAUCGCAUUCCAUUCUACACAAUUCCACAUCUCCCCGGCCACAUCAGCCUGAGAGUAAUAAACAGACCUUGCCAUCGUAUCCCCUUUUGGAGACACAAGCCAGGAAGGAAGCUCUUCAGUGCAGCUGUGAAUAGAGAAAUGCUGGCUGAGGUUUUGGAGACACUGGGUGAUCAUUCCCAGUGAAAUUUUUAGAUCCCUGGGGACAUGAGCUGCUUUGUCUUUUCCAAGGUCAGGAUAAACAGAAUAACUUCAGGCUUCUCUACCCAGAAAGAACAUGUGGCAUAAAUAUCAACUGCAGAAUAAAUAUGAUUAAUCUGGUACAUGGACGAAGAUGUUUUCUAGGAGAUGCUUAUCCUGGGAUGAGAGCUUUCAUAAGCAUUGAUAUUUACAUGACUCUUACCGUGUGUCAGGAACUGUUCUAAUUGUUUUACCUAUGUCAAUUCAUUUGAUAGUCACAACCACUGAAAGGAGUAAGUACUCUUAUUACUUCCAUUUUACAGAUAGGGAAACUGAGGUAUAGAGAAGUCAAGUGACUUGCCCGAGGUUAUUAAACUACUUAAUGUCAACACCA
This 3130-nucleotide long non-coding RNA is filed under the name Homo sapiens (human). Its description in RNAcentral is "PREDICTED lncRNA (TCONS_00257678)". Lineage: Eukaryota; Metazoa; Chordata; Mammalia; Primates; Hominidae. The record is from RNAcentral.